AUAACUUUGGCUCAUCGGAGCCAAUACAUUCUAAUACUGUACGGAGCUCCUUCUCUGUACAGUAUUGGAACAAAGUUAUAUGCGAAUCGACUUUGGAUGUUUCAUCCGAAGUCGAUUCGCUCAUCCCUAGUCGCCAUUCCCAUGAACAUUUGUCCGUGUAAUCCAGGGGCAGCUCAAAUCAGACAGAAGGGGAGCCACGCUGAGAGAGCAGCUCUCUGAACUCGCUCAUAGAAGGGAGUCCUGUGCGGGCGAUCUGCCUCUAUGAUUCCCAGGACAGGCAUUGGGAUAAUGGCUGUCUUCAUUAGAAAACCCCUUUAAAUGCAUUGUACACUAUUGAAACCAUUUUAAUUGCACUAAUGCAUGUAAUGCAAGAAAUCACAAAACAGUUCUGCAAAUAUUACUGAUGAAAGGGGUUGUCCGAGAGUUUAAUAAUGAUGACCUAUCCUUGGGGUAGGUCAUCAGUAUCUUAUUGGUGGUGAUCUGACUCCCAGAUCACCUGACGAUCAGCUGUUUGUUGAGACCGCUGUGCUUCAUGAGGGCUGCAGCUUCUUCCUAGGCCAGUGAUGUCACAUUCAUCGGCAUCAUGGCCUAGACACAGCCUAUAUCAUUUCAAGUGAAUGGGCCUGAGCUGCAGUACCUAGCACAGCCACUAUCCAAUUGACGGCACUGUGUUAGUAAGCUGUGAGGAGGCCACAGCACUCACCAGAGCAUUGCAGCCUUUUGAGACAGCCGAUCGGCGGUGGUGACGGUGUCGGGCCCCACCGAUCACGUACUGAUAAUCUUUCCUAAGGAUACGUAAUCAGUAUUAAAACUCGGAUAAUCCCUUUGAUAAAAUGUAUUGUUUUUUGUCUACAGCUCGCGUGUUACUGCUUUCCAUCUGAACUUGCCUUCCUAUUAAUAUACAGAGUAGAGAACACAUGACUAGAGGAUCUGACUAAACAUAGGGCUUGAAUGUAUUGGUGAAAACACAUAGUUGUGCAUUGGAGCUGUAUACACAAAAACGAAGUUUUUAGAUUAAUUGGAGAAAUAAGAAGACUGCAUCAAAACUGUACAUACCAAUUAAAGGGGUUGCUCAACCUCCAAAAAAUUUGAAAGUGUCAGGAAACUACAUAAAACAGCAAAAAACCCUCACCUUUUGAAAGCCCCUCAGUUCCAGCACCUCUGCCGAGUCUCUGUGAGUUCACAUGGCCACAAACAGAAUGUCAUCACUUCUGGUCCCUUGAGAACCAGAAACAUUGGCGACAGGAAACUUGUCGCUGAAACAGAGGGGAUUUCAGAAGGUGUUUUUUUCUUUGCUUCAUGCAGUCACACAUUUAUAUUGCAGGUUGGACAUCCCCUAUGGCUUCAGCUUCAUCCAGCUUAUGGUUGUUUAUGUCUUAAAGGGAAUCGGUCACGACGAUCUUGGACUAUAAACUGCAGUAUUACAUGAGUCCACAUUGCUACUUUUUAUUUUUCCUACUGUCCCCCGUUCCCCGCUGUCACUGUUUAACCUUUUCCUGACAUGGCAGUUUUCAGUUUUUGCCUUUUAUUGCAUACUAUGUAGUGGGAAGCUGGAAAAUAUGAUUACAAAAAUACCACAUUUAUAUAGUUUUCUUUCUUUAUAUAGUGUUUUAAUACUGAAAAAAAUAAAAACUUUGGAAACAUUUUUUUUUUCUUUUCAUUGCCAUAUUCUGACCCCCAUUAUUUUUUAUAGUUAUGUCUAUGGAGCUAUAUGAGGUCUUAUUCUUUGCGGGACGAUCUUAUUGAUAACAUUUUGGAGUGUGUAUGACAACUUUGUAUUUUUUUUUUUUUAACCUUACACCAUUUGCCAUAUGGGAUGCAUGUUUUUUUAAUAGUAGGGGCAUUUCCUGACGUGGCGAUGCCUAUGAUGUUGUUUAUUUUUAUUUAGAGGAAAAGAGUGAAUUUUAAAUAUUUUUUUUUGCUAUUUUUAAAAUCAUUUAAUUUACUUUCUAUUUUACUUUUUGUAGGCACCCAAGAGGACCCCAAUACGCAAUCAUUAGAUUGCCAUUUGUCUUGAAUAAUGAAAUUUAAUCCGUUAUUGAAUAGAAAAUUCAGUAUAUUCCAGUGCAGUGCUGCACCUGCAGGCCAGGAUUGGAACAUAGCAGUAAUAGGCCUGGAAGCCUUGUACAGGCUGAAGCCUAUUUCUACUAAGGAACACCUUCCCCGAUCUCAGCAAGGGGAAGGUGUUCCAGGGAGCUUGUGCUCCCGUUUUUUCUAGCUCCGAUGCCAUGGUCAAAUAUGACCAUGGCUUGUGAGGAGUUAAAUGUUUGUGAUCAGCAUUAUCGCUGAUCGCAGACAUUAGCCCUGGGUGUCUGUUGUGUGAAACAGCCAGUGGCUAUGAUGCUCACUCCACUCUGGAGAAUGUGCCAUAUUUAAAGACGUGACACCUGCUGUUCAUAUACAGCGGAUGUCAAGAAGGUGUAACGCUGCACUGAAAUACCUUGUCAGGUAUGCAUGCGUAUGUUAUUCCUCUCCAACAGUACGGAGUGUGUAUUUCAGUGCAGGUUUUCAGUGUUGUCAGCAGGGAAGCAGCAGUAGGACUUUUUAUCUGUAGUGCUACUUAUGUCUAACUGCAGAUAACAGGCCAGAAUCGAGGUGACAGAUUCUCUUUGCAUACAUUGGAAUUAUGACUGCACUGUACGUCUACCAUCUACAAUACUUUCCACUAUAUUUAUUGCUAUUUUGUUUGUGAAUCAAUUUCUUUGAUAUUCCUUUGUUUCCAUUGUUUCUGUAUAUUUGAUGUAUAAUUUAUACUCUAUCUAAAGAGACCACAAACUAAUAUAUCAUA
Molecule: long non-coding RNA, 2788 nt
Organism: Bufo bufo (common toad)
Lineage: Eukaryota; Metazoa; Chordata; Amphibia; Anura; Bufonidae
Exons: 2
Source: RefSeq, a predicted model, not a curated record